CAGUGGCGAAGGCGUCUCACCAGAACGGACCUGACGGCAAGGGACGAAAGCUAGGGGCACGAACCGGAUUAGAUACCCAGGUAGUCCUAGCCGUAAACGAUACUCGCUAGGUGUCGGCCACGGUGCGACCGUGGUCGGUGCCGUAGGGAAGCCGUGAAGCGAGCCACCUGGGAAGUACGGCCGCAAGGCUGAAACUUAAAGGAAUUGGCGGGGGAGCACUACAACGGGUGGA
This 232-nucleotide ribosomal RNA is filed under the name uncultured archaeon. Its description in RNAcentral is "partial 16S ribosomal RNA". It matches the Rfam family "Archaeal small subunit ribosomal RNA", at positions 661 to 892 of the family's 1478-position model. The record is from RNAcentral.